Molecule: ribosomal RNA, 253 nt
Filed under: uncultured bacterium
Lineage: Bacteria
Description: partial 16S ribosomal RNA
Rfam family: Bacterial small subunit ribosomal RNA
Source: RNAcentral
UACGAAGGGGGCUAGCGUUGCUCGGAAUCACUGGGCGUAAAGCGCACGUAGGCGGCUUUCUAAGUCAGGGGUGAAAUCCUGGAGCUCAACUCCAGAACUGCCUUUGAUACUGGGGAUCUCGAGUCCGGGAGAGGUGAGUGGAACUGCGAGUGUAGAGGUGAAAUUCGUAGAUAUUCGCAAGAACACCAGUGGCGAAGGCGGCUCACUGGCCCGGAACUGACGCUGAGGUGCGAAAGCGUGGGGAGCAAACAGG